This is a long non-coding RNA of Papaver somniferum (opium poppy), 2023 nucleotides long. RefSeq lists it as uncharacterized. The transcript is spliced from 3 exons. The record is from RefSeq and is a predicted model, not a curated record. Lineage: Eukaryota; Viridiplantae; Streptophyta; Magnoliopsida; Ranunculales; Papaveraceae.
UUGAAAUUUUCCCCAGGCUGCACAUAUCUUCUUCCUCUAUCAGUUACUUGCUGCUAUUUCAUCUACUCCUACUAUAAUUUCCAAAUUAAUUAACUGAGAAGACCAAGUUAUUAAGUUGUUUUUUUUUCUUUCUUACAGUUUGUUUUCCAGUUCCAACCUGCUUCACUAAACAAAAAAAAUCUCCAAAUUUUACUAUUGGGACUAGGAGGAUCAUUUGGUAAGUACAUCUUACUCACUAACCCAAUUAAUAUAUAUUUAAUUUCCAUAUUGUACAUAUGUGUUUGUGUAAAAUCUUCAAUGCAUGAUCAUCAGUUUGUCUUCAAAAUCCUCGAUAUAUAUAUAUAUAUAGAGGAUUUUGAAGAAUGAGUAGAGGAUUUUGGAGCUACCAAGAAAUUUAGCUUGAAUUUGAAGAAUGAGUUAAAUAGUAUGUUCUUCGAUUACAUCAAGUUUGUUAUAUGGAUUUUGCGACUGUAAUUCCUUGAUUAAUUCGUAUGCAUGCAUCACAUCAACUGUUUUUUUGCGACGAAUUCAUGAGUAGAGGGUGGUAUCCGUAUCUCCUUGCAUUUACUUAAUUUGUGUGGUAUAUGUCCAUAACAAUACUCUGAGCAGGGUGCUAAAAGAGAUCAUACACAAUUAUACAGAAAAAGAGAUGGCUAAGCUUGUUUCUCCAGCUGCUGUGAGUUGCUGCUUUUUCUUGAUGAUCAUCUUGUUCAACUCAGGUUAUUAAUAGCUUUCUAUUGAUAUUUUAUUCUACAUUGCUAUAAUAGUAUCAAUCAAUACUUCUUUAUAUAAAUGAGAAUCCUUUAGGCUUAUGUGUCAACUCUAUGUUCACUCUCAAGAAUUCCGAAAUAUUAUAGUGCCACAUCAGCGCAUAGUAAGCACCACAUAAUACUUUUUUUAACCGACACUUCUCUUAACCAUUUUAACGGACACAUCCAUUGACCAACAGUUCUGUAUUUUGCAAUAAUGUCCAUUCAAAAUUAUUGAAAAGACAUGCCUACUUGAAAGUUUAAAUAUAUAUUCUGUAAUCAUCCAAAAAACACGACUAUUUGAAAGUUUAAAAAUGUCCGAUUUGAAAGGAUUCAUAUAGUGCGAUCCAACUUUCCUAUUCAAACAAACACUCAUGAAGUUUCAACUAAACAAACAGACUGAACACUCAUGAUGGCACCAACAAAAUGUUGGUGCCAUCGUCGGCUAUGAAAGAUAUUGUUGUUGUGAGAACAACCACUCACGAUAUAAAGCCUUUGGUCAAUUUUGUAUAUCUUCACGUGAGCCAUUGAUGCUCUUGGAUCAAAUGGGUAUGAUUUUGUUGUUUCCGGAACAGAUACAUGCAUCUCUAUUUGUUAACAGAUAUAAGGAGUUCAAAUCACAUCUCGGAAAAAUCAAAUGACAGUGUUUAGAAUCGCUACAUUCUCAAAUACAAAAGAAUGCCGAUAGGUUCAUUACUAAACCUGGCGAGAAUCUGCCAAUAUAAUAUUCUGAUCUGUCAUUGGAGAAUGAGAAGAAGAUGAUCGACCAUAAAAGAAGUGACAAGUGUAUACUCGAUCUUCGUGGCGAAGAGAAGCGAUGCUAAAUCCUAUUACUGAAUGAGCCCGUGCAAAUCAGAACUUGCAGUAAAUGUUUAAACGAUCGCGUGACAAUCUAUAAGUGAAUAUAUGAAUGAUUUUCUCUCUGUAUCUGUCCAUGCACUUUGUUUAAUCAUUUUUAUUCUGUCGAAUUGUCGAUUUACUGGCAAGGGAAUAGCAAAUUUUAUUCGUUGGCGAGUCACAUUACAAAAUUCAUUGAUGCAGGUAUUUGACCUUCAUUAGCUGCUUUUGUUUUACAUCAAGUAACUUCUCAGUGGCUUAAUUUAGUUGAUGAUGCACAUUUUUGGUAAUCAUUCAUUCAGUUCUGCCUUGAACUUAUGAAGGUGCAAUGGCAAGAAAUAUUUGCACUGAGAUGUUUGUAUGCACCAGUCGAGUUAUUGACAUAUGCGUAGUUGGGGCAAGAAUCUGUUGUGAAAUUCCUUGUGAGACUAAACAUG